GCAAUCGUGGCCGAGUGGUCAAGGCGAUAGAAUUGAAAUCCAUAGGGGUUUCCCCGCGUAGGUUCGAAUCCUACGGGCUGCG
This 82-nucleotide transfer RNA is filed under the name Nephila pilipes (giant wood spider). It matches the Rfam family "tRNA". Rfam says of the family: Transfer RNA (tRNA) molecules are approximately 80 nucleotides in length. Their secondary structure includes four short double-helical elements and three loops (D, anti-codon, and T loops). Further hydrogen bonds mediate the characteristic L-shaped molecular structure. tRNAs have two regions of fundamental functional importance: the anti-codon, which is responsible for specific mRNA codon recognition, and the 3' end, to which the tRNAs corresponding amino acid is attached (by aminoacyl-tRNA synthetases). tRNAs cope with the degeneracy of the genetic code in two manners: having more than one tRNA (with a specific anti-codon) for a particular amino acid; and 'wobble' base-pairing, i.e. permitting non-standard base-pairing at the 3rd anti-codon position. The record is from Rfam by way of RNAcentral. Lineage: Eukaryota; Metazoa; Arthropoda; Arachnida; Araneae; Nephilidae.